This 2016-nucleotide long non-coding RNA is filed under the name Homo sapiens (human). RNAcentral describes it as "HSALNT0391640". The record is from RNAcentral. Lineage: Eukaryota; Metazoa; Chordata; Mammalia; Primates; Hominidae.
GGGCUCUCUGUAAAAUGGACCAAUCAGCAGGAUGUGGGUGGGGCCAGAUAAGAGAAUAAAAGCAGGCUGCCGGAGCUAGCGGUAGCAACCCGUUUGGUUAUCUUUCUGUGCUGUGGAAGGUUUGUUCUUUCACUCUGCACUAUUUUGCAAUAAAUAUUGCUAUUGCUCACUUUGGGUUUAUAUUGCCUUUAUGAGCUGUAACACUCACCAUGAAGGUCUGCAGCUUUACUCUUGAAGCUUAGCGAGACCACUAACCCACCAGAAGGAAGAAACUCCGGACACGCCGCCUUUAAGAACUGUAAUACUCAGUGCGAGGGUUCACGGCUUCAUUCUUGAGAAAGACAACGAGGAGGGAGCAGCUAGAGGGGUGGAAAUGGGAUCACGUGACCUUGCGAGAAGCAGGGAGAGAGAACACUGCGUCUGCUCCCUUUUAGAACAGCUCAAUAUAGGGAAUCCCUAACAGAGGACUUCCAGGAUAUCCUAGGGACAGCAGAGCCUCAAGAUCCAGGGAGGAUCCUGGAUACCUGAGUCACCACUUGGAGGGGAAUCUCCUGGAAGAACUGAUUGAUCAGCAACAUCUACAUUCAACUUGAGGUUGUUCCGUAAGACAGGAUGGCACAGAGCUUUAAGCAACAGCUCUGGCAUCUGACUUCCGUGUUUGCAUCUGGCUUUGAGUGUGACUUUGGACAAGUUCCUUAGCUGGCCAGAUACUCUUGUCCUCAUCCAUAAGAUGGAGCAACAACGAAGCCUUUCUCAUAGGUUAUUGUGAGGAUUGAAUGAAUUAGUAUAUGCCAAGCAUUUGAAGCAGUGCCUGACAUGUAGUAGAUGCUGAGUAACACUGGGGAUCUGCCUUUUCUUUUUCCUCUAUGUGACUGGCAGCCUUAGCCAGACCACAUCAGCUGAGAUGAUUUUCUCUGUAAGUUACCAGGAUCACCUAGAUCUGGCCAAGGACUUGCCCCUGUAAGGAAAUUUGGAAUAAGCAAAAAAGAUCACUAGGUGUCGCCGAUGGAAAACUAGGUUGUUUUGAGCAUACCUUUGCAUGUUAUCUGAUUUUAGCCUUUCAGGGUCUUUGAGCUAUUUUAUGGCUCUGUAGGUUGUACAUAACUGAUAGCAAUGCAAAAUAAUUCUUGUCUAUAGACAUGCAAAUAAAUCCUGUCCAGCGGUUCAAUUGACUACCCUCUUCCCUAAGGAAAAAGCCAGUUUCAGUCUAUUUGUAAAUUCAUUUCCACUUUCCUUACUCCCUAUAAAUUUCUGCUUUUCAGAUUUCUCCUUUGUUAACGUCUGCCUGGUUCCCUCAUUAAGUCAAAUAAAAUCUUUAACACGUUAAAGUAUGAGAGUCAUGAUCUCACCUGUUUUAGGAAAAUUAUCUUUUAAUACUUCUGAUAGGAAAGUUUCCUAAGCAGACCAAAAAGUAGGUACCACGGUCCCGUCUCCUAGUGGUGUGACCUUGAUCCAGCUAUUUUUCUAUCCUGGUCUCAGUUUUCACAUCUAUGAAAUGGGAGUAACAUUAUACACCUAAGAGUACGCCUGAGUAUUUCUAAGAACUAUAUGGAAAGCAUCCAGCCUCCACCUGGGCACAGAGAAGCUGCUUAAGGAAAAGGAGCUGGCAUUGUUGCAGGGAUGGUGAUGUUUAAUCCUGGUUAUUGGUAACUCAGUCAGCAGAGGUAGCAUAGGUGUCGAAACAUAGGGAGAAGGACAACAGACAGGAUGUGCUUUCUAAGGCUAACAUGGAUGGGAACAGAGAGGAGAGGAGACCUUCCUGGGCCGAGCUGCCUGUCACCUACCCGUGCACUCAGCACCUCUGCAGCUGUCACUGGACACAUCCAACCCAGAGUGCAAUUGACAUGGGAAAAAACUGCACAUGUAGACGUUUCAGUGUGGUGAGAGUAUGUUGGCAUGGAGAUGGCUGCGUCUGCCCUCGUCAGGAUGAAGGAGGGGACGGUCAGUGAGGUGCCAGGAAAAGAAGAGAAGUGCAAAUCUGGGUGUGUCGGCUUGUUUCCCGGGGAGGUGUUGCUU